AUUGAACGCUGGCGGCAUGCUUUACACAUGCAAGUCGAACGGCAGCGCGGGCUUCGGCCUGGCGGCGAGUGGCGAACGGGUGAGUAAUACAUCGGAACGUGCCCAGUAGUGGGGGAUAGCUCGGCGAAAGCCGGAUUAAUACCGCAUACGACCUGAGGGUGGAAGCGGGGGAUCUUCGGACCUCGCGCUAUUGGAGCGGCCGAUGGCAGAUUAGCUAGUUGGUGGGGUAAAGGCCUACCAAGGCGACGAUCUGUAGCUGGUCUGAGAGGACGACCAGCCACACUGGGACUGAGACACGGCCCAGACUCCUACGGGAGGCAGCAGUGGGGAAUUUUGGACAAAGGGCGAAAGCCUGAUCCAGCAAUGCCGCGUGUGUGAUGAAGGCCUUCGGGUUGUAAAGCACUUUUGGCGGGAACGAAAAGGACUGUGCCAAUACCACGGUUCGAUGACGGUACCCGCAGAAUAAGCACCGGCUAACUACGUG
RNAcentral lists this ribosomal RNA (484 nucleotides) under uncultured bacterium. RNAcentral describes it as "partial 16S ribosomal RNA". It matches the Rfam family "Bacterial small subunit ribosomal RNA", at positions 29 to 507 of the family's 1533-position model. The record is from RNAcentral.